This 497-nucleotide ribosomal RNA is filed under the name uncultured bacterium. RNAcentral's name for it is "partial 16S ribosomal RNA". It matches the Rfam family "Bacterial small subunit ribosomal RNA", at positions 28 to 507 of the family's 1533-position model. The record is from RNAcentral.
GAUGAACGCUGGCGGCGUGCCUAAUACAUGCAAGUCGAGCGAACAGAUGAGGAGCUUGCUCCUCUGACGUUAGCGGCGGACGGGUGAGUAACACGUGGAUAACCUACCUAUAAGACUGGGAUAACUACGGGAAACCGGAGCUAAUACCGGAUAAUAUAUUGAACCGCAUGGUUCAAUAGUGAAAGACGGUUUUGCUGUCACUUAUAGAUGUAUCCGCGCCGCAUUAGCUAGUUGGUAAGGUAACGGCUUACCAAGGCAACGAUGCGUAGCCGACCUGAGAGGGUGGUCGGCCACGCUGGAACUGAGACACGGUCCAGACUCCUACGGGAGGCAGCAGUAGGGAAUCUUCCGCGAUGGGCGGAAGCCUGACGGAGCAACGCCGCGUGAGUGAUGAAGGUCUUCGGAUCGUAAAACUCUGUUAUUAGGGAAGAACAAAUGUGUAAGUAACUAUGCACGUCUUGACGGUACCUAAUCAGAAAGCCACGGCUAACUACGUG